UCGUGCCACUGCUGCGUUGGUAGAAGAAUGUAGGCACCCACAGCAGGCCUCUGUGUGUCUGGCAGUGGUGCCUAUACUGCUCAGCAGUGUGGAGGUGGGAAAUGGGCAGAGCUGAGGCAGGACAGAAAGAGCCAAGCCUGGGAUGGGGCAGGAGGGGGAUGAUGGAGGCUCCUGUUCCAGGGCUGGCUGCUGAGACCCAUCAUGGGCAAAAUCCCUUCCCAUUCCUGGCCUCAGUUUCCUCCCUGAUAAAAUGAAGAAGUCAGACCCAAUUGUGAGCCCCUAGAUGGCAAAGAUCCUGGAAGGGUCAGCUGUUUCCUUCUCCAGCUCAUUUUGCAGAUUGAUAAACUGAGGCAAGUGGGGUUCAGUGACUUGUCCAGGGUCACACAGCUAGGAAGUGUCUAAGGCCAGGUUUGAACUUAGGAAGAGUCUUCCCAACUCCAGCUCCCAAGUUCUAGCCAUUGCACCCAACUGCUCUAUUAAGUGCCUACUGUGUGUGAACAGUGGCGAUACAGAAGCAAAAAGGAAACAUUCCCUGCCCUCGGGCAGCCUACAUUCUCCCGGGUGCUGGGGGGGCAUCCAAAAGAAUAGGAAUGGAUGGGCUCCCAAGGACCAUGGAGGCAGCUAUGCCGGGCACAGUCCACGGAGCCCUUAAAACUUCAGCGGGCAGCGGGUUGCCAGGCCAGGCCAAUGAGGUCCCAAAUCCCUCUUGGUCACUCCCUGGAGAAAGCCCCGAUGCUGCCUUCGUCCAGGCUCAUCCAGACCUGCAUGUUUUCCAGUUUCCUCACCCCGAUGGGAUGGAAAAAUUCCCCGAGUCCACCACCACCAGCAUGCUGAGACAGCCUUUCCUCCCAGAAUGUCAGUGUAAGUUGAAGCAACUGCCCUCCUUCUACCAGCUCCGCCAGAAGAACCUUGGGCGUAAGAGGACGACGCAGGCUCAUAUGCACUUCAGUAACACCAAUUUCAAUAGCUGGGCAUGUGACUACGUACCCAGCCCCAGCGACUGCAUAAGCACUUACACAGAGUCGUACGUGGCCAAGCCCACCCCGCCAGCCUCGUGCUUUGGGCACUACCCGAGACAUCACUCUGAACGGUGGAAGACUUAUUCGACUUAAGGACGGACGCACCGCACGGAGACAACUUGAAGGAAAGGAUGCUGUGAAGCCUUGCGGAUUCCCCUUCAAAGCGCCAACCUCGGGAGGUUUUCUUGCCCUUUUAUGUAAGGAAGGGGACAAUAAAAGAGGAUCCUUUGAAUUUAGCA
This 1258-nucleotide long non-coding RNA is filed under the name Monodelphis domestica (gray short-tailed opossum). RNAcentral's name for it is "lncRNA (ENSMODG00000033278.2)". The record is from RNAcentral. Lineage: Eukaryota; Metazoa; Chordata; Mammalia; Didelphimorphia; Didelphidae.